Molecule: ribosomal RNA, 147 nt
Filed under: uncultured bacterium
Lineage: Bacteria
Description: partial 16S ribosomal RNA
Source: RNAcentral
AUUAAAAAUAAUCUAUUAUUAACCGUUCUUACCCUAGUCUCCACCCGUCUCACAAAAUAGUGUCCUUCCUCCAGCAGUACUAAUCCAACCACGAAGGGGGACGGUUAACACGGCAGUCAUUCCAUGUCUUUUUUAAGAUAGAUAGCU